Long non-coding RNA from Drosophila navojoa, 453 nucleotides. Lineage: Eukaryota; Metazoa; Arthropoda; Insecta; Diptera; Drosophilidae. The record is from RefSeq and is a predicted model, not a curated record.
GCUGUUAUCAAUCAAUCAGCUGUUUCAUUUGCCACACAGUUCGCGGAUCAAUCGGAUCGCGUAGAAAUUAAACGAAAAUAAAAAUAAUAAUUAGUAAAUACCAAUAAAGGCUCUGGCAAAAAAGUGCCGAAACGGAAAUAAACGAGGCGAGCGUGCGAGUGCAAUUGUGUAUUUUUGCAGCAAACUGCAAAAGCAUUAGUGAAAGCCAAGCAAGGGCAAGAAAGAGAAAAAGUGAAAAUAUACAAGUUGAUGCAAUCGCAAAGUGCUGAACAAUAAACACAGUCAGAGGGCGCCCAUUUCGCAAAUAUUCGUAUAAUUAUUAUUGGUCUGCGGCAGUGACAAAUGAUGGCCUAAAAUGGCGGCCACACCACCAAUACCGCCCGGAGCAAAUCAUUUCCAAUUAAAUGGCAACCCUCCACAACAGCAACAGCAACAGCAACAGGAGCAGCAACA